Molecule: ribosomal RNA, 523 nt
Filed under: uncultured bacterium
Lineage: Bacteria
Description: bacterial SSU rRNA
Rfam family: Bacterial small subunit ribosomal RNA
Source: RNAcentral
CAGGACGAACGCUGGCGGCGUGCCUAAUACAUGCAAGUCGAACGGCUUUUCUAUGGAAGCUUGCUUCCACUGAGAAGAUAGUGGCGAACGGGUGAGUAACACGUGGGGUAACCUGCCCAUAAGAGGGGGGAUAACAUCCGGAAACGGGUGCUAAUACCGCAUAGUUUUCUUGAUCGCAUGAUCGGGAAAGGAAAGACGGCCUUUGUGCUGUCGCUUUAUGGAUGGACCCGCGGCGUAUUAGUUAGUUGGUGAGGUAACGGCUCACCAAGACGAUGAUACGUAGCCGACCUGAGAGGGUGAUCGGCCACAUUGGGACUGAGACACGGCCCAAACUCCUACGGGAGGCAGCAGUAGGGAAUCUUCCGCAAUGGACGAAAGUCUGACGGAGCAACGCCGCGUGAGUGAAAGAAGGUUUUCGGAUCGUAAAACUCCGUUGUCAGAGAAGAACAAGUUGGAGAGUAACUGCUCCAGCCUUGACGGUAUCUGACCAGAAAGCCACGGCUAACUACGUGCCAGCCGCUGC